CGCGUAGGCGGAUGACAUAGUCAGAUGUGAAAUUCCUGGGCUCAACCUGGGGACUGCAUUUGAUACGUGUUGUCUUGAGUGUGGAAGAGGGUCGUGGAAUUCCCAGUGUAGAGGUGAAAUUCGUAGAUAUUGGGAAGAACACCGGUGGUGAAGGCGGCGACCUGGUCCAUAACUGACGCUGAGGCGCGAAAGCGUGGGGAGCAAACAGGAUUAGAUACCCUGGUAGUCCACGCUGUAAACGAUGUGCGCUGGAUGUUGGGUGACCUAGUCACUCAGUGUCGUAGCUAACGCGAUAAGCGCACCGCCUGGGGAGUACGGCCGCAAGGUUGAA
This 331-nucleotide ribosomal RNA is filed under the name uncultured bacterium. Its description in RNAcentral is "bacterial SSU rRNA". It matches the Rfam family "Bacterial small subunit ribosomal RNA", at positions 568 to 898 of the family's 1533-position model. The record is from RNAcentral.